RNAcentral lists this ribosomal RNA (220 nucleotides) under Staphylococcus aureus. RNAcentral describes it as "partial 23S ribosomal RNA". It matches the Rfam family "Bacterial large subunit ribosomal RNA", at positions 1028 to 1252 of the family's 2925-position model. Lineage: Bacteria; Bacillati; Bacillota; Bacilli; Caryophanales; Staphylococcaceae. The record is from RNAcentral.
CAGACCACCAGCUAAGGUCCCAAAAUAUAUGUUAAGUGGAAAAGGAUGUGGCGUUGCCCAGACAACUAGGAUGUUGGCUUAGAAGCAGCCAUCAUUUAAAGAGUGCGUAAUAGCUCACUAGUCGAGUGACACUGCGCCGAAAAUGUACCGGGGCUAAACAUAUUACCGAAGCUGUGGAUUGUCCUUUGGACAAUGGUAGGAGAGCGUUCUAAGGGCGUUG